RNAcentral lists this long non-coding RNA (3985 nucleotides) under Daucus carota (carrot). RNAcentral's name for it is "long non-coding RNA (DCAR_LNC006439)". The record is from RNAcentral. Lineage: Eukaryota; Viridiplantae; Streptophyta; Magnoliopsida; Apiales; Apiaceae.
UUAUACCACAAACCAUGAGUGUAAGAAUUUAAGUACGAAGAAUACAACUUGACGAAAGUGCUUGACGUCCGGAUGAAUCCCUUCACUCCUUCUUCCAAUCUCUCUCACAAGUGUUUCUCUCCCUUUUCUCUCUAAAAAGGCUAUCUCUAUAUUAUUCUAUAUGAUACAAAGUUAGUUGUCUCUAAUCUCUAUCAAAACCCUAAUAUAUAUAAGAGUUUUCUUAAUUUACAAGAAAAUAAAAUAAUAUCCUAAAACUGGUUGGAUUCUGAUGCUGAAAUUCGUAGGCUUCUGUUCAGGCCUGAUUCUGGGCUGAUCCAGUUGGAUUUUGACAUCUGGACCACCUUAAACUUGUAGAGAAUUUCAAUAUCUUCGCGUGGGCUGUUGAAUCGCCCAAUUCUGACGUCCAGAACUCAAGUUACGGCCCAAACAAGAUUUGAUUCGCUGGCUAUCCAUAAAGUCCGAAUUUCCAUCUGAUUAAGCCCAAAUAAGCUUGAUUUAAUCCAACUUUAGGAAUAUUUAUUUUCCUGCCAAUAAACACUUAAAAUCAAUUAGUAAUAACCCGAUUAUUUACAAAAUACUAAAAUUAUGGGAAUAAAAUCAUAUAAAAACAUAUAUAAAUAUAUGCUCUAUCAAAUAUCCCCACACUUAGUGUUUUGCACGUCCUCGGGCAAAUAAAAUAAAUAAAACUAACACCUAAUAGAUAUAUACCACUUCCGUAGGUGAUCACGGUUGCAUUUGGCAUAUGCAACAAGCCCUUUAAACCCCUAGGCAGCCCUAGUGGACGAGUAAGGUCUCGUGAGGGUCUAUAGUGAAUGUACCCACAAAAUCCAUCUAGCUCAUGUAAUAAUAAUAUAGAUGACCACAAGAACACAAGCAUGGAGUGCAACUACAUGAAUGCAACUAAUAAAUGAAUAUGUAUGGAUCCCAAUAAUAAUAGUAUAUUCCAAGUCAGUGAUAACCAUCAGAUUAUGCAACAAGUUUAGACACAUCAAGCUCACACCGCAAUAAAACCACUUAGUGAACACAAGUACAGAGUGUGCGUGUGUGCUUAGCUUAACAACAUGCUCUUUUUUGAAUCACGAACAGAGAAACACUAGUUUCAACAUGACAAGUCAUGCGAGUUAAUAGCUCCCAAGUUGAGUACUAGAAUAGAUCUUAAACACUUCGUUACUUAGAACUAGCUAUCAUUCAAGUUUACAAGGGAUUUCUAUGUCUUCUUUUUAUUUCUAUAAUACUACUAUAUAUAAUUUUUUAUUCUUCUUUUUUUUUCACAUGCUUGGUCUAAGGUCGGGACGCUCCUCAGGGUAAGUGAGUUACGACCACCAAAAGACUUCACAAGCUCAAUUUUUUUUUUUUUUUUUUAAAGUCAAGUAAUUCUCCAGUAAUCAAGGAUAAUGAAAAGUCACCAAGAAAUUUAUAUUUCUAGUACAAUUGCACUUAAUACCAGCACAAGUACAUGGAUCGUCCCUUUCAUUUUUGACACCCAUUGAUCUCAAAGGAGUGCUUGAUACUUUAUUGAUUUUUUCUUUUUUUUUUCUUUUUUUUUUUUGAAGAAAACAUUUACACCCCACAAUCACCUCAAACUCAAGCAUUUACGUACUAAGCUCAAAAGAGAAUAGUCAAAAUUCUAAUCAUCAACAAGAGGCUACCCCUCAAGAAGCAAGUAUAUCUAAGUCUCAAUUCAAUAUUUAAGAGCAUAAUAAGCUUGUGUCAAUAAAUAAACUCUGCACUAGUGACACUGCACAUGUAACAUCACUAAUAUGUGAUCAUAGGCAUAGCAACAAUUAAUCAAAAACAAGCUACACAUAGUAUCAUCAUAGGUUACUAACUUGGACUAUUACAUGGGAUCAUGAUAUGCUAUGAUAUGCAAUGAAACAUACAUGUUAUGCAACUGUAUGAACUAAUGUAUGCAAUGUAUGAGUGUUUAUCCUAGCAUGGUAUGAUCAUCUAACUAUUUUACAAGGCUAUAAUUAUUUUUGAUUUUUAAAUUUUAUAAUUUUUUUGUCUUUUUUUUUUAAAAUAUUAUAACAUACUAUUGAGAACACAUCCCCACACUUAAAUGAGUCAAUGUCCUCAAUGACACACUAAUACUCCUCCUAUAAAUAAUAGAAAAGUAAGAAUACUCCCCUAUGCAUACGCAUGAAGUGCCGUUUGAAAAAUAAGCGAAGUGUGUUGCUUCUAAGUCGAUGCACCGCGGGCACCUUAACCAUGCCCAUGGUGCAAAUCAUUCUGCCCGGACUUCAUAAACUGACCUUCUGGACCUUAAAAUCCGAUCUCCACCGUUCAGAAUUUAGAUAUUAGUGUAAGGAAGAUGCUGUCCAAAAUUCAGGACGAUCCGACCGUUGAAACUCCGGGAAACGCAAAAACAAUGCAGCUGAUGCAACCAGAAAAAUUGCUGCGAAUUUUUUUAUUUUUGCACCUGUAACAACCACUUCAAACAAACACAUCAAGGUAACUUGUGGGAGUAAAAACAAAUCAAAAUCUACCUAAUAUUAUAAUCAUGGGUUGCCUCCCAAGAAGCGCUUGUUUAUUGUCAUUAGCUCGACUUAUUCACACAAGUAGCAAAACUAAUGUGGUGAAAAAGCAAAUAAAUGCACAUACCUACGAAUCAAUAAUAUAAUUAUGAUGUGCAAAUAUAUCUUUGAUCCACAAACAUAUAAGAAAAUUAAAAUGGACCACACUUGCUCAAGAGACUUCAAAAAAUCAAAGUAGCUAGAAAAGUCGUCAGAAUAAUCAUCAUAAGUACGACUCAUAAACUCUUCCCAAACUGGAUCCUUAUACUCCAAAGCAAAAUUAUCAAGUAUCACAUUCUUCUCAAGUAUAAUUGGAAACUCAUCAAUUUUUAUCUCAUCUACCAAUUCGUUGAGCACAACAUUAUCUUCUAAAUUUGGUAGAACUUCAGCUACAUCCAAUAUAUCACUUUCAAGCAAGGGACAAUUGUCAUCUAAACAAAUUGAUUCAUUAGACAUAAAAUUUUCAUCAUAUGCUAAAUAAGUAUCAUGACAAAGUGGAAAAUCGACACAAGGAGGAAUCCUAAAACAACCAUCAUGCAUCACAAGUUGAACAUCCAUAAUAAACGUAUUUCUUUUAGCAUUCUCCUCGUACCAACUUAUCGAAUCUGGUAAAUUAUAAUGCCUACAAUUAUCCAUUAAAAGCAACUCCCAUGGUCAAUCAAAGAACACUUGUAAACUAUUAAGAACCAAGGAUUUUAAGUCUCACAAUUCUCAUAUCAAUCUCCCGAUCUAAUACUCAAAUUGUGUCCAUCAUAUCAUGUACUAGAAUUAUAACUCCUCUCCCGAUUCGUUAUAACUCCUAGAGAUUCAAUUAAAAGUUAGCUACUCUUUUAAUUGUAUAAAGCGCUCAAUGACAGAUUAACAAAUCAAGAGAAAACACAAUCCAACUAAACAAACAUAAUAAGCCAAAGAAUACUACCUAACUCUUGGAUUAAGGAAUUAGCUACUCAUGAUAAGAUGAAACAAAUAUGUAUUUAUACCACAGACCAUGAGAGUAAGAAUAUAAGUACGAAGAAUACAACUUGACGAAAGGGCUUGAAGUCCGGAUGAAUCCCUUCACUCCUUCUUUCAAUCUCUCUCACAAGUGUUUCUCUCCCUUUUCUCUCUAAAAAGGCUAUCUCUAUGUUAUUCUAUAUGAUACAAGUUAGUUGUCUCUAAUAUCUAUCAAACCCUAAUAUAUAUAUGAGUUUUCUUAAUUUACAAGAAAAUAAAAUAAUAUCCUAAAACUAGUUGGAUUCUGAUGCUGAAAUUCGUAGGCUUCUGUUCAGGCCUGAUUCUGGGUUGAUCCAGUUGGAUUUUGACAUCUGGACCACCUUAAACUUGUAGAUAAUUUCAAUAUCUUCGCGUGGGCUGUUGAAUCGCCCAAUUCUGACGUCCAGAACUCAAGUUACGGCCCAAACAAGAUUUGAUUCGCUGGCUAUCCAUAAAGUCCGAAUUUCCAUCUGAUUAAGCCCAAAUAAGCUUGAUUUAAU